CACUCUCCACACCCCAGCAGCCAGCGCUCUAACCACACCCGGCUGCCACAGAAUGAAAAUCAGAAAUUGCUUUUGAAUUGUGGUUCAACAGAAUCAUUUAAAAAACUAAAUAAUGAAACUGGCCUGGACAAAAAUGAUGGUAUUUUUGGGUCACUAUCCUGUUGGGGGACCCAUGACCUGUGACUAAGACCAUCCUUUCUGACACUGGGCAGCACAUCUCGCUCCAGAAUGCCUUGAUAGUCUUGAGAUUUCAUGAUAUCCUGCACAGAUUCAACACCCCCUGUGCGAGAGACAGCAAUGCAGCCCCAGAACAUAACUGAGCCUCCUCCAUGUUUCACAGUAGGGUGUCUAUCAUCUACUGGCCGGAGACAACAGCUGGAAAUGAGCCAUGUUGGCUAAAAAUGCAGUUAAUUCAUGGGGACUGUCCACGAAACCAUAAAAC
Eleginops maclovinus (Patagonian blennie) is the source of this 442-nucleotide long non-coding RNA. RefSeq lists it as uncharacterized. The record is from RefSeq and is a predicted model, not a curated record. The transcript has 3 exons. NCBI's taxonomy places the organism in Eukaryota, Metazoa, Chordata, Actinopteri, Perciformes, Eleginopidae.